Long non-coding RNA from Leptinotarsa decemlineata (Colorado potato beetle), 1337 nucleotides. NCBI's taxonomy places the organism in Eukaryota, Metazoa, Arthropoda, Insecta, Coleoptera, Chrysomelidae. The record is from RefSeq and is a predicted model, not a curated record.
CACAUUUUUUGAUUCGUUAAAUAUUGGAUAUAUUUUGCUACUUUACAAAGUUUGUUUACAAUUAUUUGGUUUCGAACAAACACCUAUGUGAUUAACUAUUUUGUAUCUCACAAUUUACACAGUUGUAUAACUCAGGUAAAGAAAAUUCGAAUCGACAAAAUAAAAAAUAAUUGAAAAAUUAUAUCCUGAUGAUUAUUACAUUCAUCAAUAUAAACUGAACUUAUUAAUGUAGUAAUUUUUUAGAUUUAGUCAGUGACAGAUGUUUAGGUUUCAACUACUAAUUUAUCGAACACCAAAUGACUGUUGGAGAAUUUAAAAAGAAUGCAUGCUUAACGACAAUAAUACCAGUACUUCUAGUAGUAAGAGGGUGCUCUAAUCAAAGCAGUUGUAGAAGUGAUCAAGGAACUGUGGUAAGCAGAUUCAUUGGAUAGAGUGGUGAAUACGUUUUCCAUAAAGAAUCAAAUCCAAAGAUUUGCACCUCAGAAGAAGAGGAAAUGCACAAAAAUCAUCUCAAUACAGUGUUCUCGAAUUUAGACUAAAACCCAAAUUGAAAGUUACCACUGACUUUUCAUUGAAAUGAAAGGUGAAAAUGGAACCUAUGGCGUAGAAUUAAUCCGAAACAAGCACCUUUCUCAAUCACCAGAAAUGCAAUGUAAUAUGCUCGACACUUGAUUCAUCAACCAACCAAGUUGAUGUCAUCUCCUGAAAACGCCCUGGAAUUUUUAGAUAUGACUAAGUACUCAGCAGACAGUCCAGAACAUUUUUGUUAUAACCUGUAUGCACUGUCAAAUCAUAAUGGGACCACUUAAAUGGACAUUAAUGACAUACUGUUAACACCCACACACAGGCAAAUGGUAUGAUCACAUCGAUUGACGAGCGUCACCAAUUUCACAAAUAUCUUCUGUGAGUAGAGAGGCAUAUAUUCUUUUCUACGAACAGAAGUGAAGUAUUUUGCAACUUUGAAAAGUUAUAGUAUUUUUCCUAAUCGUUUACAGUAAAUUAUUGUAUUCAAAUUUUCCUAUUAGUGUUUCAAAAUGUUAUUUUUUGAUAUUGCAUAAACUAAUAGUAUUCAUUAUUACUGUUAUUCAUGUCACCUGGUUUUGUGAUUGUAUUUAUGUCUUCGGAGAACAUAUUUUCUCAUUAUUUAUUAUGCAGUGUUGUUUCUUAAAUAUUAUUAGGCCUACUAAAAUUACUUAUUGUAUUUACUUGAGUUUACUUCGAGUCUCACUUUUAUAUUUUUAAAUUGUUUAUGAAUAUUUAUUGUAUUUGAUGCCUGUAAUAUUAUAAAAGAGGUGAUCCUGUGCAACAAACGAAUAAAUAAAUACUGGCGUAGAGAA